Molecule: ribosomal RNA, 468 nt
Filed under: uncultured bacterium
Lineage: Bacteria
Description: partial 16S ribosomal RNA
Rfam family: Bacterial small subunit ribosomal RNA
Source: RNAcentral
GACGAACGCUGGCGGCGUGCUUAACACAUGCAAGUCGAACGGAAAGGCCCUGCUUUUUUGGGGUGCUCGAGUGGCGAACGGGUGUGUUACCUGUGAGUAACCUGCCCUUGACUUUGGGAUAACUUCAGGAAACUGCGGCUAAUACCGGAUAGGAGCUCCUGCUGCAUGGUGGGGGUUGGAACGUUUCGGCUGUUGGGGAUGUACUCGCGGCUUAUUAGCUUGUUGGUGGGGUAGUGGCUUACCAAGGCUUCGACGGGUAGCCGGCCUGGGAGGGCGACCGGCCACAUUGGGACUAAGAGACGGACCAGAGGGCUACGUGAGGCAGCAGUGGGGAAUAUUACACAAUGGGCGGGAGCCUGAUAAGACAACGCCGCGUUCGGGAUGACGGCCUUCGGGUUGUAAACCGCAUUCGCCUGUGACGAAGCGUGAGUGACGGUAAUGGGUAAAGAAGCACCGGCUAACUACGUG